This 72-nucleotide transfer RNA is filed under the name Marmota marmota marmota (Alpine marmot). It matches the Rfam family "tRNA". From Rfam's summary of the family: Transfer RNA (tRNA) molecules are approximately 80 nucleotides in length. Their secondary structure includes four short double-helical elements and three loops (D, anti-codon, and T loops). Further hydrogen bonds mediate the characteristic L-shaped molecular structure. tRNAs have two regions of fundamental functional importance: the anti-codon, which is responsible for specific mRNA codon recognition, and the 3' end, to which the tRNAs corresponding amino acid is attached (by aminoacyl-tRNA synthetases). tRNAs cope with the degeneracy of the genetic code in two manners: having more than one tRNA (with a specific anti-codon) for a particular amino acid; and 'wobble' base-pairing, i.e. permitting non-standard base-pairing at the 3rd anti-codon position. The record is from Rfam by way of RNAcentral. RNAcentral also lists the same sequence under 1 other name. Lineage: Eukaryota; Metazoa; Chordata; Mammalia; Rodentia; Sciuridae.
UGGGAUGUGGCUCAGUGGCAGAGCACUUGCCUGGCACAUAGGAAGCCCUGGGUUCAAUGCCCAGUACUACAA